This 466-nucleotide ribosomal RNA is filed under the name uncultured bacterium. Its description in RNAcentral is "partial 16S ribosomal RNA". It matches the Rfam family "Bacterial small subunit ribosomal RNA", at positions 28 to 507 of the family's 1533-position model. The record is from RNAcentral.
GAUGAACGCUGGCGGCGUGCUUAACACAUGCAAGUCGAACGAUGAAGCCCAGCUUGCUGGGUGGGUUAGUGGCGAACGGGUGAGUAACACGUGAGUAACCUGCCCUUAACUCUGGGAUAUGCCUGGGAAACUGUGUCUAAUACCGGAUAGGAGCGUCCACCGCAUGGUGGGUGGUGGAAAGAUUUAUCGGUUUUGGAUGGACUCGCGGCCUAUCAGCUUGUUGGUGAGGUAAUGGCUCACCAAGGCGCCGACGGGUAGCCGGCCUGAGAGGGUGACCGGCCACACUGGGACUGAGACACGGCCCAGACUCCUACGGGAGGCAGCAGUGGGGAAUAUUGCACAAUGGGCGCAAGCCUGAUGCAGCGACGCCGCGUGAGGGAUGACGGCCUUCGGGUUGUAAACCGCUUUCAGUAGGGAAGAAGCGAAAGUGACGGUACCUGCAGAAGAAGCACCGGCUAACUACGUG